This 853-nucleotide ribosomal RNA is filed under the name bacterium 9Q. Its description in RNAcentral is "bacterial SSU rRNA". It matches the Rfam family "Bacterial small subunit ribosomal RNA", at positions 38 to 935 of the family's 1533-position model. The record is from RNAcentral.
GGGGAGGCGCAGCCUACACAUGCANUCGAACGAAGUCCUUCGGGGCUUAGUGGCGCACGGGUGCGUAACGCGUGGGAAUCUACCCUUAGGUUCAGAAUAACAGUUGGAAACGACUGCUAAUACCGGAUGAUGACGUAUGUCCAAAGAUUUAUCGCCUAGGGAUGAGCCCGCGUAAGAUUAGCUAGUUGGUGUGGUAAAGGCGCACCAGGGCGACGAUCCUUAUCUGGUCUGAGAGGAUGAUCACCCACACUGGGACUGAGACACGGCCCAGACUCCUACGGGAGGCAGCAGUGGGGAAUAUUGGACAAUGGGCGAAAGCCUGAUCCAGCAGUGCCGCGUGAGUGAUGAAGGCCUUAGGGUUGUAAAGCUCUUUUACCCGGGAUGAUAAUGACAGUACCGGGAGAAUAAGCUCCGGCUAACUCCGUGCCAGCAGCCGCGGUAAUACGGAGGGAGCUAGCGUUAUUCAGAAUUACUGGGCGUAAAGCGCACGUAGGCGGCUUUGUAAGUAAGAGGUGAAAGCGUGGUGCUCAACACCAGAACUGCCUUUUAGACUGCAUCGCUUGAAUCCGAGAGAGGUGAGUGGAAUUCCGAGUGUAGAGGUGAAAUUCGUAGAUAUUCGGAAGAACACCAGUGGCGAAGGCGGCUCACUGGACUGGUAUUGACGCUGAGGUGCAAAAGCGUGGGGAGCAAACAGGAUUAUAUACCCUGGUAGUCCACGCCGUACACGAUGAUAACUAUCUGUCGGGGCUCUUAGAGCUUCGGUGGCGCAACUAACGCAUUAAGUUAUCCGCCUGGGGAGUACGGCCGCGAGGUUAAAACUCAAUGAAUUGACGGGGGCCUGCAAAAGCCGUGG